Long non-coding RNA from Conger conger (European conger), 408 nucleotides. RefSeq lists it as uncharacterized. The record is from RefSeq and is a predicted model, not a curated record. The transcript is spliced from 3 exons. Lineage: Eukaryota; Metazoa; Chordata; Actinopteri; Anguilliformes; Congridae.
UCGUCUUCCAUUGUUCCUGCCUCUGACCCUCCACCUCACCUGUGACCCCGUAGUUCUACAGAAAAGGGGUGUCUCACCCUCUGAAGAUCUUCUGUAAUCCCUGGAUGAUUGACCACGCAGUGCUCCUCGUGGGAUACGGACAUCGUAAUGGAAUCCCAUUCUGGGCCAUUAAGAACAGCUGGGGCGAGGACUACGGAGAGGAUGGCUAUUACUACCUCUACAGAGGGUCCAGGUUGUGUGGGAUAAACAAGAUGGGCUCCUCUGCUGUGGUGAACUAAACAGCAUCACUGGCUGGCCUCCAUAGAUAACUGCUGGCUAGCAAACAUACCCACUACCAACUCCAAAAUGAGCUACGUACAGCCUCCCUCCCGGGAGCAAUCAGGAAUUUAGGAAUUCAGACACUAGUGG